UUCAUACUACAUUUUAUAAAUUAUAAAGAUUGAUACAAAUAUCACAUAUUUAGCUUACUAGCAUGGAUCAGACCAAUAUUCGAAUAUAAUCCAUCGAGGAGUAUGAUUCGAGAAAAAAUGAAAUACUUGAACCCUAAUAUGAGCAAACAUUGGUAUUCUCGAAUUCGACUCGUGUAUCAUUAAACAAAAAAUGAAUAUGAAUCAGAUUCGGCUCAGAUCAACUUAAAAUCCAAAUUUUAAAUUAUAUUUUCGAGUCGAUCUCAAAUCGAAUAAUAAACUACUUGAUUGGACUUACACCCCUAACUACUACUACGUACUACUACUAAUUAGCAGUACAAUAUAACGUAGACAUCUCGACUGACACACAUUUCUCUACAUAUCCCAAUAAAUCAAUUUAGUGAAGGCGAGUCGGAGUUUAAUUCACUUUCAGAUAUAUUAAUUAAAAGGAGAAUGAUGAUAAUAAUGAUGAUAUAUAUAUAUAUAUAUAUAUAUAUAUAUAUAUAUAUAUAUAUAUAUAUAUAUAUGAUUAAUUAAGCCACAUACUAGAGCAUGCAUGCAUGCAUGCACCUUGCGCUUAAUUAAUUGAGCAGUGUAUUAUUAUUAUAUAAACCCAAUUAUAAAUGAUCCUUAAUUAAUUAGGAGUAUAUACAUGCAAUAUAUGAAAUUAAUUAGUCAGUUUAAAAUUCAGAUUUUAUAUAUGAACUUGUCUUCUAUGGAAAUUUGUUGAAUUUAUUUAUAUAUGCAACUCUUUAUAUAUUUACAUAUGAUAAUUUGCGUGUCAACUUGUCGUGUAGAGUACUAAUUUGAUUUGUUUAUUUCUUACUCUUAAACAUCACUUUCUUCUUAUGGGCGGAACAUCAAAUAGUUACACCGAUUGAUGUAAAGUUGGGUCAUAACUCGCUCCCUCGAAUCUCUGAGUCUCUCUCUCCAAAAUCUCUCUCUCUCUCUCUCUCUCUCUCUCUCAUUCACUCUGAAUCUAAAAUAUUUUUCAGGUUCAUUUCUUAAUAUAUGAGGAAUAUAUAUUCCUCAUUCCGGUGCUGAAAUGCUGAAAAUAAUUCUCAAGGAAUUUUUAUGAGCCAAACUGAAUAUAUAGUCGAACGUGUGUAUGUGUGUGUAUAUAUAUAUAUAUAUANNNNNNNNNNNNNNNNNNNNNNNNNNNNNNNNNNNNNNNNNNNNNNNNNNNNNNNNNNNNNNNNNNNNNNNNNNNNNNNNNNNNNNNNNNNNNNNNNNNNGAUUCAGAAAGGGUUUUGUCUAGACUCCUGACCAAAUAAAGUUAUCAAUAAAGUAACUUAGGCAUUUUUUUGUUACAAAGAUGAUAGCCAGACACUUUUGCCUACAACUCCCGAGGACAAAUAAGGAACCUCCAUUGCACAUAUAGGACUAAAGCUCUGAGAUAGGCUGUCACUGGGGGGUUGGACAACCUCACUAAUCAUCAAAACUUGGAUAAUUAAUUAAACACCAGACACUAAUCCUAUAUUUGAAUUGAAGUAAUGAAAAUGAAAAUAAAAUGACUCAUUUCUAUGUAAUUAAGAAAACUGUGUUUAGUUGCAAUUAGAAUAGAUUGAACUAUUUUUAUUCCUCUCAAAUUAUGAAUUUUAUUCCUUAAAGAAAAAAAAGUAUAGAAUGACUCAUUUCAACUAAAAUGAAAUAAAUCAUUUAACUCUUCAUUUCAUUCCUUUAAUUCAAAUGUAGCAUAUGAGCACUGAGGUCAUGCAUGCCUAUAUGUUAAUUAUUAACAGUGCACGUCUAUUACAUGGUAAGAAAGCUAAUUAGUGUCCUUAUUGUAGAUCAAUGGCAUCAUAAACAAAAAAUGACCUUCUCAUACAAUAAUCAGCUUAAUUAGGGCAUACAUAUAUACACACAUGACUUGCACACAAACAUAUAUAUAUAUAUAUAUAUAUAUAUAUAUAUAUAUAUAUAUAUAUAUACACAAUGUAGACGAGCCUAACUAAAUCACCAGGCACAUUGAUUGCAAAUGUACAAGGAUGCUUUCUCACAAAUUAAAUUUCUACAUACUUGUUCAACUUUGUAUUUUUGUCAUCAUAACUAGCUUUAAUUUCCGAGUAAUAAAUUAUUUAAUGAACGAUACUAAAAGUUAAUGGCCUCUAUCCAUCAGAAAUAGGUAAAACUCAAUUUUAUACACAGGUUUCCGUAUUUUAUAUGCCAGAAUUACAAAUCUAGGUACGCAGAUAGCAAGGAGGAUAUUCUUGUGUUCGUGGUUUUAGUUGGUCAAUUACAAAAUGGCUGAAAUUAGCAUGUGUGUAUAAAUAAAUCUCUUAUACAGUUAUACCUUACCAAGGCAUUCCCAGAAAAUAUCAUUCUCUAUAUAUAUCAAACAACAAAUCAUAAUUUUACACGCGCGGACACACUCACGCAGUCAUAUAUAUAUAAAUAUAUAUAGAAUUAAUGAGAUAAGGACGACUUUUUGGGUGGCUAUACAUAUAGUUGUUCGAGCCAUUAUUACUAUCUAUAGGUAGUUCAUGGUUAGUCCUACACUGUAUAUAUUUACAUUUAUGUUAAUGAAGGUAAGCUUUUGUGAAUUCGAAAGCACACACACACACAUAUAUAUAUAUAUAUAUAUAUAUAUAUAUAUAUAUAUAUAGUUUUUCAUUUUGGACCAAGGAUCAUCAAAUUAAUAAUAGAUCUAGAAGAUGAUAUCAAAAAAAUUAUCAAAGGAAAAAGUUUAUAAGCCAAGUAGAUCGAAAGAGAACGUACAAACUUGAAGCUAAGCUAGCAUACCUGAUCAGAUCAUGAUAUUAUUGUUAUAUUCUUAAUGAGAUCAACUUCUUGAAGAACCUCCAGAUAUGUAUCGAAUCAGUAUAUAUAUAUAUAUAUAUAUAUAUAUGACUGCAAAAAAGGUUAUUUUUUAAAAGGAGAAAACUAAAGACCUUAAUUUUAUGAGCUAGUGAUCUGAUCUUACAACAAUCUAUAUGUAAAAAAAAAGAUUAGAUCCAUUAAAUUUGAAGGUGUACAAUUAUAAUGUCCAAACAAACAAAUCAAGACAACCAAAGAAAGCCAGAAGUAGAGAGAUCUACAUACAUAUAUAGAGAGAGAUAGAGACAAGCUAGCUAUUACGUAGACAUGGGAAACAUAUAUGCUAAUUUGAUGUCUUUUUUUGUUUGUCAUCUUCAAUCAGAGAUCAAAAAAAAAAAGAAAAGGUAACUCCCAUAAAAUCAUGAACCUUUUAUGAAACAAGACCCAGGUAGUAUAUUACCUUACUUUAAGGAUAUAUAUAUAUAUAUAUAUGAAGAAAAAGGAGAGAAACAAGGAAAUACAGUACUAGAACCUAUAAUUAUUAUUUAGGGCAAAACUAAAGAGCAAGCACCGCAAUAAAAACCAAAGCCAAAAUAGAAGUAGGUUGAUCUACAAAACUAAAUUAUAGUACAAGGAUCGGACCAAUAUGCUUGAUUCCCCGAAACAGUCUUCACUUUGUUUUCAAGUCUCCUUCGUGAAAAGAUCUAGAGAAAGCUAGGAGAGAGAGAGAGUGUCUUCUUAUCUCUUGAUCGAUCAUGACAUAUAUAGCCGCUAUAUAUUUUCUCUUUCUUUUUCUUUCUCAUCUUCUUCUUGUUUGAGAAUGAUGAUGGCUUGAGGUGGUGGAAAUAAUGAUGGAAGUGAAGAAAAUAAUAAGGUGGUGGUGGUGAAGGUGGUGAUGAUGAUGAUGGUUUGGCAGACAUGAUGCAGGUGAUGAUUACCCUGAGCUUCUGGCGUUGAAACUAAUGAGAUUAUUAGAUAGAGAAAGAAAAAAAAGAAUUAAUUUAGAAGCAACACUACUCUCUCUCUCUCUUUCUUUUUCUCUCUCUGAUCAGAGGAGGAUUAUACAGUUUAUACUCAUCAGAUAUAUUAGAGAGAGAGUGAGUGGAAAGAAUUAUUCCUACUCCAAGAUAUAUAGUCGUCCUUUUAACCUACAAUAGACCCCUCAAACACACGUUUAGUAUUUUUUUUGAAGUUUAUUUUAAAAUUUAAGAUAUAUUUUUAUUGUUAUUUUUAAUAUUAUAUUAUUA
This 4001-nucleotide long non-coding RNA is filed under the name Panax ginseng (ginseng). Its description in RNAcentral is "long non-coding RNA (PGIN_LNC013721)". Lineage: Eukaryota; Viridiplantae; Streptophyta; Magnoliopsida; Apiales; Araliaceae. The record is from RNAcentral.